AGUUGGCAACAAUAUAUCCUAAAAAUAUUAAAAUGUUACAUGUUUAUGGGGGUGGGGGGAAAUAUGAGAAAGAAGGAUACUAUAACUAGGAAAAAUAAUUUUAAAAUGUGCACUCCUGUGGGACAAAAGGUAAUGAGAUUUCCUGUGAUAGAUUGUAUUAUUGCUAACAAAAUAAAGUUUGCUAUCCCUCCCUGGGAAUAUUAUACAUUUCAUUUCCAUUUAUGUCAGGCUAGGCCACAAAACUUACUUUGCCCAGUGAAAGGUUAGAACCUGAGAAGAUGUAAGAACCAAUGCAUGGUUAACCAAAAAUUUUUUCCUUUUCCUGUUAAGAUGACAAGCAAUAGUAGCCAGAAUCCUGGAGUGAAUAGACAUGGAGAAGAGCUGCCUUUUCUUCUCAACUGACAAGUCACGUGGAGGAAAUAAAUCCCUUGAGGACAGUGAAGAAAUAACUUUGAGAUCACCUUCCCAUCCUUCCGAUUUCUUCAAUGAGAGCUUAAAUGGAUUUUCAAAAAAUCAGAGAGCUUGGACAAAAAGUUGAAACAAGUUCAUAUCCUAAGCAUGAUGAAUAAGCCAUGGCAGCUUACACAGACUUGAAGGCCAACCACCUAUGGGCUAGCACAAAGGAGUUCAGCCUUUUUUGAAGUGGGUGGUUUGACCUCUCUUUAUUGUGGAAGCAAAGCAAAUGGCCCCAAACCAUCUGGAUCUGCUGUUAUCACUAGAGGAAUUAUUGCCCAGAAUGUGGACCAAAGGUUAGAAGACUCCACAUUGGAAUCCUGGGUCCGCCGUUAAAUAAUGAGGAACAAGCACUACCUCAUAGAGAAAUGGAAACUCCAAAAGAUUAAGCAAGAAGCCCAUAGGAACACAAUUAGUAGAGCACUGAAUAAUAUUUCACUGUCCUGAUGUACCAAGUUUAUCCAUUCACCUACUGAAGGACAUCUUGGUUGUUCUAUGUUUUGGCAAGUAUGAAUAAAGCUGCUAUAAAUGUUUAUGUGCCAGUUUUUGUGUGGACAUAAAUUUUCAGUUUAUUAGGGUAAACACCAAGGAGUGUGAUCGCUGGAGAGUAUGGUCAAAGUAUGCUUAGUUUGGUAAGUGGCUGUACCAUUUUACAUCCCCAUGAGCAAUGGAUAAAAUUUCUUGGUGCUCUACAUUUUCCACAGCAUGUUCUGGAUUUUGACCACUCUAAUUGGUAGGUAGUGGUAUCUCGUUGUUUUAACUCACAUUUCCCUGGUGACAUAUGAUGUAGAAGAGAAUCUUU
This 1255-nucleotide long non-coding RNA is filed under the name Homo sapiens (human). Its description in RNAcentral is "HSALNT0009559". The record is from RNAcentral. Lineage: Eukaryota; Metazoa; Chordata; Mammalia; Primates; Hominidae.